This 253-nucleotide ribosomal RNA is filed under the name uncultured bacterium. RNAcentral's name for it is "partial 16S ribosomal RNA". It matches the Rfam family "Bacterial small subunit ribosomal RNA", at positions 524 to 776 of the family's 1533-position model. The record is from RNAcentral.
UACGAAGGAUUCGAGCGUUAUCCGGAUUUAUUGGGUUUAAAGGGUGCGUAGGUGGACUAAUAAGUCAGUGGUGAAAGCCCGCAGCUUAACUGCGGAACUGCCAUUGAUACUGUUAGUCUUGAGUACAGUUGAGGUGGGCGGAAUGUGUCAUGUAGCGGUGAAAUGCUUAGAUAUGACACAGAACACCGAUUGCGAAGGCAGCUCACUAAGCUGUAACUGACGCUGAGGCACGAAAGCGUGGGGAUCAAACAGG